CUUAGGGCAAUGGUGCUCUUGUAAAUCGUGUCAGAUCCGGAAGGAAGCAGCACUAAGCAAGGUGUGUCAUGUGCCUUUUGUUA
RNAcentral lists this signal recognition particle RNA (83 nucleotides) under Companilactobacillus alimentarius. Its description in RNAcentral is "signal recognition particle sRNA small type". It matches the Rfam family "Bacterial small signal recognition particle RNA". From Rfam's summary of the family: The signal recognition particle (SRP) is a universally conserved ribonucleoprotein involved in the co-translational targeting of proteins to membranes. Archaeal SRP consists of a 7S RNA and homologues of the eukaryotic SRP19 and SRP54 proteins. RNAcentral also lists the same sequence under 1 other name. The record is from RNAcentral. Lineage: Bacteria; Bacillati; Bacillota; Bacilli; Lactobacillales; Lactobacillaceae.